RNAcentral lists this ribosomal RNA (770 nucleotides) under uncultured bacterium. RNAcentral's name for it is "bacterial SSU rRNA". It matches the Rfam family "Bacterial small subunit ribosomal RNA", at positions 8 to 756 of the family's 1533-position model. The record is from RNAcentral.
AGAGUUUGAUUAUGGCUCAGAACGAACGCUGGCGGCGUGGAUAAGACAUGCAAGUCGAACGAGAUUUUUUCCUGUAGCAAUACAGGGAAAAGUCUAGUGGCGAACGGGUGCGUAACACGUGGGCAAUCUGCCUUAAAGUGGGGGAUAGCUCGGCGAAAGCCGAAUUAAUACCGCAUGUGAUCAGGGGAGACAUCUUCCCGAAAUCAAAAGUGGCGCAAGCUACUGCUUUUUGAGGAGCCCGCGGCCUAUCAGCUAGUUGGCGAGGUAACGGCUCACCAAGGCUUUGACGGGUAGCUGGUCUGAGAGGACGACCAGUCACACUGGAACUGAGACACGGUCCAGACACCUACGGGUGGCAGCAGUCGAGAAUUUUUCUCAAUGGGGGAAACCCUGAAGGAGCGACGCCGCGUGGAGGAUGAAGGUCUUCGGGUUGUAAACUCCUGUCAUUUGGGAACAAGUGUCGGUACCUAACUGCUACCGACUUGAUAGUACCAGAAGAGGAAGGGACGGCUAACUCUGUGCCAGCAGCCGCGGUAAUACAGAGGUCUCAAGCGUUGUUCGGAUUCAUUGGGCGUAAAGGGUGUGUAGGUGGCGCCGUAAGUCGGGUGUGAAAUUUCGGAGCUUAACUCCGAAACUGCAUUCGAUACUGCGGUGCUUGAGGACUGGAGAGGAGACUGGAAUUCAUGGUGUAGCAGUGAAAUGCGUAGAGAUCAUGAGGAAGACCAGUGGCGANNGCGGGUCUCUGGACAGUUCCUGACACUGAGACACGA